Tachyglossus aculeatus (Australian echidna) is the source of this 3513-nucleotide RNA transcript. It is a transcript of the gene named solute carrier family 7 member 1, with no coding region annotated. The transcript is spliced from 13 exons. NCBI's taxonomy places the organism in Eukaryota, Metazoa, Chordata, Mammalia, Monotremata, Tachyglossidae. The record is from RefSeq and is a predicted model, not a curated record.
CACGCCACGAGGGCCGAACUUGCUGCUGAGGUACCUCGGCUCCAGGACUUCAGAGCGUCCAGACCGUCGGUGGGACCACAUUAUGGACUGCCAGGCCUUAUUCAGCUUGGGGCAGCAGCUCCUGCGGCGGAAAGUGGUGGACGGCAGCCAGGACGAGAGCAAGCUGUCCCGCUGCCUCAACACGUUCGAUCUGGUGGCGCUGGGCGUGGGCAGCACACUGGGCGCCGGGGUCUACGUGCUGGCCGGCGCCGUGGCCCGAGAAGACGCCGGCCCGGCCAUCGUCCUGUCCUUCCUGAUCGCCGCGCUGGCCUCGGUGCUGGCCGGCCUGUGCUACGGGGAGUUCGGGGCCAGGGUCCCCAAGACGGGCUCCGCCUACCUCUACAGCUACGUCACCGUGGGCGAGCUCUGGGCCUUCAUCACCGGCUGGAAUUUAAUCCUCUCCUACAUCAUCGGCACCUCGAGCGUGGCCCGGGCCUGGAGCGCCACUUUCGACGAGCUCAUCAACAAACAGAUCAGCAACUUCUCCCGGAUGCACAUGUCCCUGAACGCUCCCGGGAUCCUGGCCGAGUACCCGGACAUCUUCUCCGUACUCAUCAUCCUCGUCUUGACAGGUCUGCUCACCUUCGGGGUGAAGGAAUCGGCCAUGGUGAACAAAGUCUUCACGUGUGUCAACGUCCUGGUGCUGUGCUUCGUCAUGGUGUCGGGCUUCGUGAAAGGCUCCAUCAGAAACUGGCAGCUCACCGAGGAGGACUUGUGGAACAUUACCAAGCAAAUGCCCACGUACAACAAGACGUCUGAAGGAGGCCGGCCCUAUGGAACUGGCGGAUUUAUGCCCUUUGGGUUCUCUGGAGUCCUGUCGGGGGCCGCCACCUGCUUCUACGCCUUCGUGGGCUUUGACUGCAUCGCCACCACAGGGGAGGAAGUGAAGAACCCCCAGAAGGCCAUCCCCGUGGGCAUCGUGGCAUCGCUCCUCAUUUGCUUUGUGGCAUACUUCGGGGUCUCCGCCGCCCUCACCCUCAUGAUGCCCUACUGCCUCCUGGACAUCGACAGCCCCUUGCCCGUGGCCUUCAAGCACGUGGGCUGGGAUGGGGCGAAGUACGCCGUGGCCGUUGGGUCUCUCUGCGCCCUGUCCACCAGCCUCCUGGGUUCCAUGUUCCCCAUGCCGCGGGUCAUCUACGCCAUGGCCGAGGACGGGCUCCUCUUCAAGUUUCUAGCCAAGAUCAGUAAACGGACCAAAACCCCCGUCAUCGCAACGCUAACGUCGGGAGCCAUUGCCGCCAUCAUGGCCUUUCUCUUCGACCUGAAGGACCUGGUGGAUCUCAUGUCGAUCGGCACACUGCUGGCUUACUCCCUGGUGGCUGCCUGCGUGCUGGUUUUGAGGUACCAGCCCGAGCAGCCCAGCUUGGCGUACCAGAUGGCCAGAACCAGCGACGACACCGAGGCCACGGAGCAGAGCGAGCCGAUGAGCACCAGCGACUCGCAGGUGAGGUUCUUGCCGGGCGGAGGCAAGGACGAGGACGAGGGCGAGAGGUGCUCCCUCGGGGCCGUUCUCUUUCCGAAGAAGCAGGAGCCUUCCAAGCUUUCGGGGUUCAUCGUCAACAUCUCCACCAGCCUCAUAGGGGUUCUCAUCGCCACGUUCUGCAGCGUGGCCGUCCUGGGGAAGGCCUCCCUGCUGGCGGGGGAGCCGUGGGCGGUCGUCGUCCUCGUGCUGUCCGCCCUGCUCUGCGCCGCCGUCACCGCCGUCAUCUGGAGGCAGCCGGAAAGCAAGACCAAACUCUCCUUCAAGGUGCCCUUCCUGCCGGUGCUGCCCGUCCUGAGUAUUUUUGUGAACGUCUACCUCAUGAUGCAGCUCAACCAAAACACCUGGGUGCGGUUUGCCGUCUGGAUGCUUCUGGGGUUCAUGAUCUAUUUCGGGUACGGCGUAUGGCACAGUGAGGUGGCGUCGCUGGCGGCAGAAGACUCGGCCAAGACGCCCGACAACCCCUCGGAUUCCUGCAAAUGAGCCCGCCUCUGCGCUGCCCAGCGGUCAGCCCUUCUGUGGCCGUGGGGACCCGGGAAGGCCCGAACUCUCCAGGGGAAGGACCCCCCCCCGAGCGGCGCCCCCGGCUCCCCCAUAGACACACCGGGCACGCAACACCUGUCGUGGCGUCCCCCCGUCUCCCCCACUCCUUGCCAACGCCGAGCAGGCGCCUGGUGGGCCAACGCCAACUGCCCGCUGCGCCCUGUUGGGGACAGCUGGCUGCUGCUGCUGUUGCUGCUGUCUUCGACCUUCCCCUGGGCACCCCGUCCCUGCGCCAGCUCCCCCGUCGGUGCCACCAGGACCUCAGGCAGACCAGUGGACGCCCAGCUCCUCCCGUCACCCCACUCCCUGGACCGAUCGCAUCGGGAGAGCCGCAGGCCGCCCACCCUGUUGGCCUCUUGGUCCGCGGGAGGCAAGAUUGGCCUCCCCCUCCCACGGCAGAGACGUGAACUCUGCCCUUUCUGCGGCCGCGGGGCUCCCGCGUCCCCCCACCCAAAGCGGUCUGUGCCUCUCCACGGGGAAGGGCGGCGCACCGAGGUGCCGCCGGAAAGCUGCGGAUGAUCCAAAUGUUUAGCCUUAACCGUUCUUUUCAGCCUCUUUGCCAGUCGGAUUUUUCUAGCGGAAUCAACUCGUUUAGGAUUUGUCUUCUCCCUGUCCCUGAAAUCCCUUCCUCCGCCCCGCGCCCCGGAGAAGGGGCUGAUGCCGAGGAAGGGCUGGGAGGACGAAGGAUGUUGGAGGAGGAGGGACGUCGAGGGGGGACCAGCCGGAUGACCGGGUAACGAGGUUCAAGAACCAAACUGCACCUCUCUUCCCUGUGGUUGCGACGGCUAGUGGACUUCCCGGGCCUGGGGCCGAGGCCGCGGAGGGGAGGCGAGUCUCCUGGCCGGACGCCAGCCGAGUUUGGCCGAGGGGAACAGCUCUCUGCCUUGGCCCCCAGGAGGCAGGGCUAGCGAGAAGCGGACGGGCCCUCGGUUUCCCAAAAUGACGCGAAGGAAUUCCUUCCCGGCCAGGGGCGGGCCUGCGAUGUGCGUUGUGAGUUCCUGGUUUAAGUCGAGCGGGCGGCCGGUGACCACCCGAAGUGGGCCGGCGCCGGCUUCUCCAGUACCGUUUUCCCCUAGCGAGAGAGAGAAGCCGUGCGAGAGUCUGCUCUCCAAUUCCGUCAAAUGUAUAUAUUGCGUUGCUUGUCUGAUGUUCUAUUUUUCUAAUGCGUUGUGAGGAUUUCCUAGAACGGCGAUCAAAGGUUGAAUUCUAAUGUUAAUGGAAAGUUCCACUGAGGUCAGCUGCCCUUUCGUUUCUCCUCGUCUUUUUUUGUUUCCUCUUCCCAUCUGCCGGGCCUGUGGAUUUGUCGGUCGCGAUAGCGUUGCCAUUGUCCUGUCCCCCCCGUGACUGACCCUUCUCCCCCUCUGUACGCGCCGUUUCUCCGUGGAGCUGCCCUUCGGGGGCUCCGUGGCGGAGAACGCUUCCCCUGAAGCCUAAUAAAUCACGUCCAUGGU